UGAAAGGGAAGAGGGCGGCAGUGUUUCUUUUUCUUUCUUUUGUUAUUAUAUAUAUUUAUUUUUUUACUUUAGUUUUUGAUUUCAUGAAUGUAAAAUUGGGCAUGAGGAGGUUGACUAGAGUCCUCGCUGGUUCGCCUAGUGUCGUGUUGAUGGGGGCUAUAGUUGAGAUGAACGUUGCCGACGCAGAGGCGAGGGAAGUCCAAGCAGUCGGUUGUAGUAAAA
RNAcentral lists this long non-coding RNA (222 nucleotides) under Salvia miltiorrhiza (redroot sage). RNAcentral describes it as "long non-coding RNA (SMIL_LNC013855)". The record is from RNAcentral. Lineage: Eukaryota; Viridiplantae; Streptophyta; Magnoliopsida; Lamiales; Lamiaceae.